This 635-nucleotide ribosomal RNA is filed under the name uncultured bacterium. Its description in RNAcentral is "bacterial SSU rRNA". It matches the Rfam family "Bacterial small subunit ribosomal RNA", at positions 818 to 1442 of the family's 1533-position model. The record is from RNAcentral.
UGCUGUAAAAGGAAUCGACCCCUUUUGUGGCGUAGCUAACGCGAUAAAUAUGCCGCCUGGGAAGUACGGUCGCAAGAUUAAAACUCAAAGAAAUUGACGGGGGCCUGCACAAGCGGUGGAGUAUGUGGCUUAAUUCGAUGCAACGCGAAGAACCUUACCUGGCCUUGACAUGUAUGUAGUAGAAGGGUGAAAGCCUGACGAGGUAGCAAUACCAGCAUACACAGGUGCUGCAUGGCUGUCGUCAGCUCGUGUCGUGAGAUGUUGGGUUAAGUCCCGCAACGGGCGCAACCCCUAUGUCCUGUUGCCACCUCAACGAGAGUUGGGAGCACUCUGGACAGACUGCCUCGCUUAAACGAGGAGGAAGGUGGGGAUGACGUCAAGUCAGUAUGGCCCUUACGGCCAGGGCUGCACACGUACUACAAUGCCCGGCACAGAGGGAAGCGAAACCGCAAGGUGAAGCAAAUCCUGGAAAACCGGGCCCAGUUCAGAUUGUCGUCUGCAACUCGACGGCAUGAAGCUGGAAUCGCUAGUAAUGGCGCAUCAGCUACGGCGCCGUGAAUACGUUCCCAGGCCUUGUACACACCGCCCGUCACAUCAUGAAAGCCGGUUGUACCCGAAGUCCAUGUGUUAACCGC